ACCCUUGUGGAGGAGGACGCCGAAGGUGGGGCUAAUGACUGGGGUGAAGUCGUAACAAGGUAGCCGUACCGGAAGGUGCGGCUGGAUCACCUCCUAACAGGGAGACAACAAAAUGUUUAAUAUUAUUAUUUUGUCACCUUAGGUCGAUCGGUAUCUCACGUUCUUAAUUUAUUAAGAAUUUCAUUUCCUAAGUUUUUCUAGGUCACACCCAUUAUUUUUCCUGGGCCAUUAGCUCAGGUGGUUAGAGCGCACCCCUGAUAAGGGUGAGGUCCCUGGUUCAAGUCCAGGAUGGCCCAUAUCUCUAUGUUGGGGGUAUAGCUCAGUUGGUAGAGCGCCUGCUUUGCAAGCAGGAUGUCAGCGGUUCGAGUCCGCUUACCUCCACUGAUUACCACCUCUUCCAUAACCGGUAGAAAGGAAAUGUUUUGAGUUGUGAUUAUUAUUCUGAACGAAUCUAGCUUCCUAAUGAAAUCAUUAAGAUGCUGGACUCAUUGAAUUAAUUUCAUUGUUUUCAGAGAACCUUGACAACUGCAUAGAUUAUUUUUAAAGACAAUAAGCAUCUUUAAUGAUGCAGAUUUAUUAUUUGUGCGAAUGCAUUAAUAACAAUUCUAUUGAGCUGAUGCUUCAAUUUUUGAAGUUAUUGGUCAAGCUACAAAGGGCUCACGGAGGAUACCUAGGCACACAGAGGCGAUGA
Molecule: unclassified non-coding RNA, 691 nt
Filed under: uncultured Prochlorococcus sp.
Lineage: Bacteria; Bacillati; Cyanobacteriota; Cyanophyceae; Synechococcales; Prochlorococcaceae
Description: partial may contain 16S ribosomal RNA, 16S-23S ribosomal RNA intergenic spacer, and 23S ribosomal RNA
Rfam family: Bacterial small subunit ribosomal RNA (bases 1-97)
Source: RNAcentral